UAGGGAAUCUUCGGCAAUGGGGGCAACCCUGACCGAGCAACGCCGCGUGAGUGAAGAAGGUUUUCGGAUCGUAAAGCUCUGUUGUAAGAGAAGAACGUGUGUGAGAGUGGAAAGUUCACACAGUGACGGUAACUUACCAGAAAGGGACGGCUAACUACGUGCCAGCAGCCGCGGUAAUACGUAGGUCCCGAGCGUUGUCCGGAUUUAUUGGGCGUAAAGCGAGCGCAGGCGGUUUAAUAAGUCUGAAGUUAAAGGCAGUGGCUUAACCAUUGUUCGCUUUGGAAACUGUUAAACUUGAGUGCAGAAGGGGAGAGUGGAAUUCCAUGUGUAGCGGUGAAAUGCGUAGAUAUAUGGAGGAACACCGGUGGCGAAAGCGGUUCUCUGGUCUGUAACUGACGCUGAGGCUCGAAAGCGUGGGGAGCAAACAGGAUUAGAUACCCUGGUAGUCCACGCCGUAAACGAUGAGUGCUAGGUGUUAGGCCCCUUCCGGGGCUUAGUGCCGCAGCUAACGCAUUAAGCACUCCGCCUGGGGAGUACGACCGCAAGGUUG
This 550-nucleotide ribosomal RNA is filed under the name uncultured bacterium. Its description in RNAcentral is "bacterial SSU rRNA". It matches the Rfam family "Bacterial small subunit ribosomal RNA", at positions 355 to 896 of the family's 1533-position model. The record is from RNAcentral.